Molecule: long non-coding RNA, 433 nt
Organism: Ornithodoros turicata
Lineage: Eukaryota; Metazoa; Arthropoda; Arachnida; Ixodida; Argasidae
Exons: 4
Source: RefSeq, a predicted model, not a curated record
GUCCGAGUGCGCAGCAGAAGCAGAAGCGCGCCCUUAAAAAGCUUUUUCAGUAAAGCCUUCUAUAGUUAGUGUGCGUUCUGCGAAACGGUUAAAAGACGAUGUUCACUCCUGCAGCAUUGGUUGCGCUUCUUUUUGUUUCAAGUCUCGUCACUGCACCUGACCCUGAAUCCAGUGCCGACCACGGAGGGUUUGACGUGUAUCCAGAAGUGUAUCCACCUAUCUCUGGGGACUCAGUGACAGACCCUUUGAAAGGAGCUGAAGUCUCAGUAAAAUCCGAAAAGGAUGUUUUGGGGAGAAGCCAACGGGCAAUUCGUAGUAAUGUGGCCUGAAGACAGCUUGGAGGUGAAGUACACGAUUACACUACCGUGGUUAAACUAGAAGCAUCAUCACUGGACACCGCACGACGAGGAAUAAAGAGAGUUGUGUCCGUAAA